CUAGCAAGGCAGGCCAACAUUCAAAUUCAGGAAAUACAGAGAAUGUUGAAAAGAUACUCCUUGAGAAGAGCAACUGCAAGAUACAUAAUUGUUAGAUUCACCAGGUUGAAAUGCGGGAAAAAAUGUUAAGGGCAGCCAGAGAGAUAGGUCGGACAGGUCAGGGUACC
Nomascus leucogenys (northern white-cheeked gibbon) is the source of this 167-nucleotide long non-coding RNA. RefSeq lists it as uncharacterized. The record is from RefSeq and is a predicted model, not a curated record. Lineage: Eukaryota; Metazoa; Chordata; Mammalia; Primates; Hylobatidae. The transcript has 3 exons.